CCCAUUGCCCCAAAAUUAACCCUUAGCCCAACACCCCUACCCUUUAAUUAAACCCUAGACAUCUACAUAUAAGGACCUAGCAGCUAAAAAUAAAGGGAGGAGAUAUAGACCUACGCCUAAAAAAAAUACAUAAUCGCAUCCGCCGUUUUUCCAGGGAGCUUGGACGCAAACAGAUCUAGACAAAAAAAGAAGCUGCUACUUCUUCUUCUUAAAAACAAAAAUUAGACCUAAUACUAAGGAGCUUCAGCCGCUAGAACACUAAGGAAGCCCACCCCCCACGUAGCUUCUCCAUCGUCUUCUUCAUGGAGACAGCAAGAAAACUCCAUUGAAGCUCCCCGCCAUCGCUGACCAGCGACAACCAACAAGCAGCUGCUACUGCUUCUUUAACUCACUCACGACUGCCACAACAACCAAAACGUAGCCUUCUCUCUCAUUUUUUCUGUCGCUCCUCCGUCACCGGCGAGGUUCCUAUGCUAUCGAGGUCGUGUUCGAAUUCCGUCGUGGAUCCCAGUCGGAUUUGUUAUAGGUCCUUCAAAGGAGGUUCUUCUUAUAUAAUCUAAAGAUUUGUUAUUAAAGUCAUCUUAUUCCUUACUUAUUCAAUAUUGUUACAUGUUUGUUUUGUUUUGAUGUUUAAGUAUUUCAAGCUAGAUUCGUUUAUGUGUUCUUUAUUACUUUAAAUUUGUUUAUUGAUAUUUUGGUAGUUUCAGAAGUGGGAAUUUUGGUCCUACAUACACAUGCUGAGUCCAAGAGUAUAGUCCUUUUAAGUUUGAUUUAAAUUUCAAUAUAUUAAUAGCAAAAACAAGACCAAAUGAUCUGAAGUCCCACCGAAAGAAGUUUGAUAAUAUAAGAAAAUGCGUGUUAAAGGGACGAGCUCCUUAUCUUAGAAAAAUUGAUCUAAAAUGUAUAAGGGAUAUUUAGAACUACUUAAGGCGUUGGAAAACAUGUUCAAACUCAACAUAGGUGAAUACUCAGAAAGGAAAGGGUAUAAAGGGUCAGAAUUUGCACCUGCUUACGAAGUUAAAGAUGGUGACUUAAUGCUUGUUGGUGAUGUUCCAUGUGAUGAAAAUCUCUUCAUUUUUGGUUGUGAUUUUUUUUGUACAAUUAUAAACUGUAACUUCGUUCAAUUAGUCAGGUGCAUAAGUGAUAAAUGAAGUUCUACGUCAUUUCUCAUCAAAUGUUUCUACAAAGAAGAUCAUUUCGGACCUUUAGCUCUUUCGGUUCACUUUUCUUUGUGUGAUAGGCAGGACUAGAUAAAGUUUUAAGAUGUCGAGAUGAGGUGUUUUAAUUUCGUAGUUUGCUUUAGGUGUGUUAAUAAAAUAAAGUGUCAUAGCUACGGGUACGGUUCCCGUGACGAAGUUGUUACGCACAAUUUCCAAACCGGGGUAUGCAUUUCAUGUGACCCGUCUUCAAUUUCCAACAAGGCUAAAUAGAACGUGUCGUGAACCACGGGCACAUUUCAUGUAGCGUGGCUUACGAUGUAUUUUAAAUAACCUUGAAUUUUUCUGAAAUAAUAAAAGCGGUUUAAAAGUUAAAAAAUGCACAUAGGUUUCAAAGAUGUUUUAAAAUCAAAUAAAUAGGCCAAUAAUAACAGUUGAGCAACCGUGCUAGAACCACGGAACCCGGGAAUGCCUAACACCUUCUCCCGGGUUAACAAAAUUACUUACCCUGAUUUCUGUGUUCGCGGACUAUAAGACAGAGUCAAUCUUUCCUCAAUUCGGGAUUUAAAACCGGUGACUUGGGACACAAUAAAUUAUAUCAAGUGGUGACUCUGAAUUUUAAAUAAAAUAAUCCCGUUUCGAUUGUCACUUAAAUUAGAAAAAACUCCCUUAUAUCCUCUCGGGUGUGUAGAAAGGAGGUGGACAGCUCUGGCGACUCUACUGGGAUUAGAACUCAAAACUUCUGGUUCAGGGCUCAGAAUUCGAGCUUAGAAUAGUUGUUAUAUUUGGCUUUUAUUUAUUAUCUGGUUUUAAUUACGUGUUUGGGCCUAAUGUGCUAAAUGUUGUUUUUUACCGCUUUGAUAUUAUAUGAACUGUAUAUAAACUGCUACGCAACCCUUCUCUUCUCAUUUCGGGGAUGUGCACACUGGCGUGACUCCUCUUCUGUUAGUGUCAUACCUUAAAUUAGGAAGAGGCUCGGACAAGUUACAAAGUCUGAUGGCCUUUUGGUUCCUGGUACGUAGCCCCCCCUUCGGCUCGAGUUGUCCGCUCGGGUACACAAGUCUACAACAACAUACCCAGAUUUUGAACUUAGAAUAACUCAGCCUCAUGCCGGAUCCCUAGUAGGAAUGUUUAUUUGCAUCAUGUGCAUUUGACUUUGGGGACUCAACACAGGGGUUGAGUCCAUCUAGGACAGGUGUAUCCAAAAUAAUAGACCAUCUUGAUGCAUCCUAUGUACUACAUAUUGCAUUUCUCCAAGGGUAAAAGGGUCAUUUGGCAGACCAAUGAUAAUUGAGGGCGAGUGAAAAAAAAAAAAAGAGGGUGAAGUGUGAGAAUAAAGCAAGUAGGGCCCAGUUAUGUUUUAUGUCACACUUUUGUUAAGAAAAAGACAAAAAAAAUAUGAAAAAUUCAAAAAGAUUUUGUACUUUUUUUUAUCAUUUCCCGAAAAUCAGAAAAUCAAAAAAAAGGAAAAAGGAAAAAAAUCCAAAAAGAGUUUACAUGUUUCAUCAUUUUUUUUAAAAAAAGGACAAAAAAAUAUUUUUUCUAAAUUAGUUGCCUUUUUAAAUCUUGUCUGUAUCCGAUCUGCCCGAACUACGCGAACCUGAUUCUCAUCUCUCGGGGCGGGAUACGUAGGCAACUCACAUAGGGUCCGGCCUUCCUAGUAAAUCUUAGGUUCUUGGCUUUACGGGGUCUUAGCCAGAUUUUGCACUUCUAGCCACCUUUUGGCCAAAUAAGCCAUUUUACAAAAAUAAUCACAAUUAUGUCUUGCAUGUGUCCAACAGGAAGGGUUAUUGUCUCACAUAGCGUUCCAGGUCUUUAACUUUAUUUGGUCUUAAUUUUCUCAUAGGUAUGGAUCUACUUACCGAAGUUUGAGCAUGACAGAGCCCAGGACCAUUUAGUCAGGAUCGCUCAUUUAGGAGUGGAUUAAUAGGAGAUAUUCUUUUCUUUUUUAUGUUUUGAGUUUUUCUUUUUAUGUCGUCUUUUACUUUCUAGUAUUGUACAAUAAUGUCGAGUUUUUUGUUAUUGUAUUUCCUAUUUUGUAUUGGAAAAAAAGUUGCGUUAUAAAUCAAAAAUCCAAAAUAAAAAGAGAUUUUGCUUUUAUAUUUUCGUUAAAGUUUUCUUUAGAAUACUAAUUCUAGAAAUGAAAAAAAAUCCUUUGAGGUGGUUUUCCUUUAGAAAUAAAAAUUACUUUUAUAUUUCCUUUAGUAAAUUAAGACUAAAAAUUCAAAAAAAAAAAAGAGAGAAUUUUCUUUUAGUGCCUCUUUAAAAAGUUUUCUUUAAGAUUUUAAUUCCAAAAAAUCCAAAAAAAAAAAAUUCUUUUGAGGUUCUUCGUUGGGAAAUUACAGAAAAAAAUUCUUUUUAUUUUACUAGAACUUUAGGACAUUGUACAUAGAAGAAAAAAAAAACAUACUUUAGUUUUGGUUUAUCUUCAGAGUUUCUCCCUUAGGCAAUCAAAACUGAAAUCUGAAAGUUUUUUUUUUUUAUCUUUUUCAUUUCUUUGGUCGAAAUCUUUCUUUCAGGAUAUCAAACGAAAAUAUUUUUCUUUGGUUCAUCCUUUAUAUUUCCUCCCUAAAAAAAAUCAAAAAAUAUUUUUCUCUUCUAGGGGUUUUUCCUUAAUAAUUUCUCAUCAGAGUAUUCAUCAAGGUAAAAAAGAGAAAAAGAAAAAAAAGAAAUUGAGAACGUUAGUUUGUUUACUUUAUUUUUGAUCUUCCCGAACUACGCAAAGAUCUGAUUCAUGCGGUGUCAUGGUACGUAGGCAACCUACAAAGGGUUCGAUCGAAUCAUUUUUUUUAUUAAAAGAAAAAAAAGAGGUGAAAUUAUGGGAUGUGAGAAAUGAGAGGAAAGAAAAUAGUGAUAACUAGAAGAAAAAAAGAGGAAGGAAAAUAAGCAAGCCAAGAAGUGCUAGAAAAGAAAAUAGAAGAGAAGAUUGAAAUGAACAAAAUUGGGAUGAUACCAAGUGACCUUGUGACCCACGAAAUCUUUCUAGAACCGUUAAUUGUUGCUAGGUGCAUUGCACACGAUGUGAUAUUUUUAGCUGUUAAAUGCCCUAAUGCUAACAAGAUGACCCCAUUUUGUUCCUUUUGUUAUUUUCAUUGAGCAGAAGGGUGGUUGGUUUGUGGUUUUAAGUAACACAUCCAUAUAACACAAGGUAAAAGAGCAAGGUAGCCAUGGCUAGCAAAGACUUGGACACAUGGGUUGUUGACCCGCUUAAGGGAAUUGUUGAAUCAAAAUCUGAGUUGAGAGAAGAGGUCUUAAGGUUGAAAAGACAGAUGUCCGAAAUAUACCAAGCCUGGAUUAGUGGGCGCCCUCCACCAUCAAUUCCUACUAACUACACUGAAAGCCUUGUCACCAUUCCGCCAAUGUCACAAGUCCAGGAUAUCUCCCUACAACCUUUUCACACUCCACCCGCCAAAACUAUAUCAUAUCCCGCUCCUUUGACCACUCAUAUUUUUGUAGCACAUCCACCUGCUACCUCUUCUCGAUCCUCUAGCGAGACUGUUUUCAAAAUCUGUGAUGCCCAAUACUGUGCUUCAGAACCAACUUUCAAGGUCUCGGUUCCAUACUCUCACGCUCCUCAAUUUGAGCCUCCCGGUGAGAUUGCAAAGUCUGCUAAGACAGUGGAGCAAGAUGAGAUAGCCAGAAAGCUGAAAGGUUUUAAAAUGCCAGAGCUAAAUUUAUAUGAUGGACGUGGAGAUCCAGUAGCCCAUCUGAGAGGUUACUGCAGUGAAAUGAGAAGUGUUGGCGGGAAAGAUGAUUUGUUGAUGGCGUAUUUUAGUGAGAGCUUGACUGGGGCAGCUUUGGAAUGGAACACUCGUCAAGAUGUCAUGUCAAUAAGUGGCAUGCAUGAGGUGACAUAGCUCAAGAUUUUGUUCGACACUUUUAGUACAAUCUAGAUAUUAUCCCACACCGCUCCUCCCUAUCUUAGAUGGAAAAGAAACCUGAGGGAAGUUUUGGGGAGUUUUGGCUCAGAUGGAACAAGUUGCUCGGGUCAGUCCUCUGAUUGAUAGAAAAGAUGUUGUUGAGCCCCGCCAACGACGGGAUCCAAUGGGCAUUCCUGCUAAACGCUUUCAGCCUCAAUAUCGACCCCAUGGAUAUCCUCGCGCUCCAAAUAUUUCUCCCCAAUGCUACUUCUCUCCAUAAAAUCCCCAAAGUCAUACCUCACCUUCCCAGUACCCUAUCCGCAAUGCACCACCAUAUGCUCCACACCCACGAGGCCCGCGAUGGCCUGCACCACUUCCAUAAAUGUCUUACCCGCCUCCUCAAGCAUAUCAACCACCUACCCGCAAAAGGUUUCAACUGAGGCUAGAGUACAAAAUGAGAAGGCAGCAGCAAAGGAAAAAGUCUUUCUCUCCUAUUGGAGAAUCAUAUGCCAGUUUGUUCCAAAGGCUGAUGCAAUUGGACAUGUUGAAACCGAUUCAGAUAAAAGUGUCAAACCCUCUUCCAAAGAAUUUUGAUUUUUCUCAAAGGUGCGCAUAUUGCUCUAAUGCCCCGGGGCAUGACAUAGAAAAGUGUUGGCAUCUGAAAGGAGCAGUCCAGAAGCUUAUUGAUGCAGGUGACAUUACCGUGCAAAAUCCAAAUGCAGCAGAUACUAGCCAAAGUCCAUUACCUGUUCAAAAUAAGACGCAUAUGGUGGACAUGAUUUGUGUGGAAAAGGAAUAUGAGAACUCUUCUGGGAUCCUUGGAGGGCCACUUGCCACAAAGCUUUCAGUGCUAUCACUCUUGGUUCCGGAAGUUGAUCCUAAGAAUGAGCUGGCCAAAGAGACCUAAAAGCAAUUUGCUAAGGACAAUGCGAUGAAGACUUGUGAAGGUUCUAGUAAUGUUGAUGUGGAACCCAGUAGCUAGGAUAUCGAGCUUGGUGAUUGGGAGGAUGCUCCUUUCUUGGCUAGCUAGGGAGGAGUCUUGGUGGUUUAUUUUGUUGUUAUUUCUGUUGUUCGGGUUAUUUCAGGGUUGUAAUCCGAAUAUUGUCUUGUGCCUCAAACCCUUCUAUCCUUUUAAUUUUGCCUAGUUCCUUUAGUUGUAGUAACUCAUUUAGUAUUAUCUAGGUUUGUUCCAGGGCUGUACCCCAGUUUAUUUUACUUGUUUUGUUGUUCAAACCUUUUUACCAUCUGUAUAAUGCAAUUUCCUAUUUUCUGUUAUUUCUAGUUAGUGUUUGUUAGUUCUCUUUCCCUUUUAUAGUUCUUUUCCUACUAAUUCUAGUGACAUAAAAUACACGCAUAAUUCUCAGCCUGGUCUUAAAAGUUAGUUUAAUCAGGAAACAAUGAAACAAUUUUGAAGAUGAUAGGGACACUUGAGGGAAAUAAGUACAGAUUUGGAUAUUUUGAGAUCAUUUGAAGCCCGAACCAUAUGAAACUGGGGCAGAUAAUUUGGAAAGUUAAUAGGGUGACAAGAAUUCGUUAAAGGAGAGUGCAUCCCGGACGAUUUAAAGCAAGCAACUUUGAGUUCAAAUGCAUCUCAAGUUACAAAAUAAAGGAAGUUUUCUCCGAAUUGACGUAAGAUAUCCACUGUGAAAAAGGAAUCACCCAACGAGGGUUCUGUACUUGACAAGGCACUAAGAAAAGUGGAAGUCAUAUCGGUAAUAUCAAUGCCGAAGCCUCAAAAGAAAUAUUGUGCAUGAUCUUCAAUUUUCAUUUCAAGUUGUAUGUGUUGUACUUGGCAUUUUCAGGGAUUGGGAGACCCUCUUUCAGCUAUCCAAAUACUUUAAACCCUUUGGUACCCCUUUUCGAGCAUGUACUAAUUUCUUUGACCUCCCUUCUUUUGAAAUCAAGUUAGAGUCAUACGAAAAAAGAAAAAAAAAGUUUAUGUCCCCAUAGGUUUAUUUUAAAAGGUUCAUUCCAAAAGAAAUUUUUUUUUUAAAAAAAGAGAAAAAUAGAGAUAAAGAAAAAAAGAAAAAAGGAAAAAGAAGGAAAAAGGAAAAGAAAAGAAAAAGCAGAAAGGAAAAAGAAAAGGAAAAUAGUAACAAAAAGUAGUCGUGUGAACUACGGUUGACCUUAUUCUUGUCACCACAAGAUACGUAGGCAGCCUUACGGUUCGGUCAUACUAAAUAAAAUAUUUCAUAAUCCCACGAAGUUGAGAGUGGGACAGUCUUUCUUAGUAAAAAGAAAAGAAAAAAGAGAAUCAAAUUCCCUUGUUUUAGAAAUUNNNNNNNNNNNNNNNNNNNNNNNNNGUUUUUACUAUGGUUAAUGCCCUUAGUCANCUACAGAAUCAGUGGAAAGAAGAAGAAAAGAAAAAAAUGAGAGAGUCUUAUCGGUGAAAACCUUCACAGGCACCAUAAGGUGACGGUAAGUUGAGAGAGAGAAAAUGAGAGAGGCUUGAUGGUGAAAACCCUUCGGGCACUACAAGUCGAAUAAGGAUUGUGAAUCAUAUUAGAUAAUCGAAGCAUUGAAGCCCAGUUUCACGGUUUAGGGGUAUAACAAGAGUUGAACAUCAGACUUGUUUGACAGAUUAGGCCACUUAAUCCGAAGGUGCAUGUCAUGGUCAUUAGAGUUGGUAUCCACAUCUGAUAAGUUUCUACUUUGUAGUUUUCUUGUUAGGAAUCAUCUCUUUUUAUUGUCCUUUACUCUGUUCCUUUUGUCUUGUUUACUUCCUCUUCAUGAGUCUGUUUGGUCAGAACAAGUGAGAAAUGACUUCAAAAUUGGCCACCAGUUUUCCAAUUGCACAAAACGGGAUCUGGCUAGCACAUCAAAAUGGCAUGUCAGGAAAGAAUAACAGGCGCACUGAGUUGGUAACAAUCAACAUAUGUUGGGAUUCAUGUGAAAUAUAAAGGUUCGGUAUAUGUCAAUUUAUGAACAAUGCAAUAGAUAGAGGGUGUUGGGUUUGGAUGGAUCAAAAGUAUUUUCUGUGAUAAUGUUGACAGAGAAAGUGGUUAACCAACAACAAGCAAGGUCUUUCAAAUGGAAAUCAAAGUUAUCAUGGCAAGUGAAGGAAUAAUAGACCUCAAGGCCAAGGCCAGUGUCCUACGUCAGAAAAGAAUAGCAAGCGCACUGAGUUGGUAAAAAUCAACGUGUUUUGGGAUUCAUGUGAAAUACAAAGUUUCGGAAAAUGUCAAUUCAUGAGCAAAAUGCAACAGAUAGAGGAUGUUGGGUUUGAACGGAUCAGAGGUAUUUUCUAUGAUAAGGGUGACAGAGAAAGUGGUCAGUCAACAAACAGGCAAGGUCUUUCGAGUUGAAAUCGAAGUUAUCAUGGGAAGUGAAGGAGCAAUCUCCCUCAAAGUCCAGGCCGCAAACCAACCACCAUGCUUAAAAUCACAAGUUUUAUUUGAUUGAAACAGGGGCAGGAAAUUUUGUUUGUUCUGGAGAGACCCUUCGUGAGGAAAGCAGGUGCUAGACAGGUUCGACCAUAAAUUCUCAGGACCCUCUUGGACAAUGGGACUUAGUUAAAAUUCAAAACAUUCAUGAGUAACAAGAUCUAGCAUAGGCUCUACCUUGAGGAAAUAUAAGUUGUCCUUGAAGUUUUCAUGCUUAGAAUGAGAUUCAAUUUGAAAUUUUCAGGACUCUCAUGAAUAAUGGGACUUAGCUUUAAGACCUCCAUCAGAUAACAAAAUUUAAAGUAAAUUCUGCCGUAGGAAAAUAUAAUUUAGGCUUAAAGUUGUUACUCUUAAGAUGAGAUUUGAUUUUAAUUUUCAUGACCCUCCUGGCUAAUGAGAUUUAGUUCAAGAUCAUCACAGAUAACAAGAUUUAGCAGAAGUCGUACCUUUAGGAAAUAUCAUUUAGCUUUAAAACUGUCAGUUGACUAGGGAUUUUCAGGCCCCUCUUGGAUAGUGGGAUCUACCUUUCAAAUUCUUAGAGAUAUUUGGUAACAUGACUCAAUUAACACUCAGAGAUGUGCCUAGCUACCAAAUUGGGGCAGAAAAUUUUCUUUGUUUUGUCUAUUCUAUUGUAAUCAGGCACCCACCUAGAGAACAAAGGGAAGCAGUUCAAGUUUCGAGGAGAAGUAGUUCAAGUGUUGAAAAUGAUGAGCCCACCUGGAGAACAAAGGGAAAACAAUUCAAGUGUUGUUAAUCAGGAGCCCACCUGGAGAACAAAGGGAAAUCAAUUCAAGUGUUAGUAAUCAGGAGCCCACCUGGAGAACAAAGGGAGAGUAGUUAAAGUUUUGGUAAUCAAGAGCCCACCUGGAGAACAAAGGGAAAGAAGUUCAAGUUUUGGAAAUCAGGAUCCCACCUGGAGAACAAAGGAAAAGCAGUUAAAGUUUUGGUAAUCUGGAGUCCACCUGGAAAAUAAAGGGAAAGCAAGNNNNNNNNNNNNNNNNNNNNNNNNNNNNNNNNNNNNNNNNNNNNNNNNNNNNNNNNNNNNNNNNNNNNNNNNNNNNNNNNNNNNNNNNNNNNNNNNNNNNNNNNNNNNNNNNNNNNNNNNNNNNNNNNNNNNNNNNNNNNNNNNNNNNNNNNNNNNNNNNNNNNNNNNNNNNNNNNNNNNNNNNNNNNNNNNNNNNNNNNNNNNNNNNNNNNNNNNNNNNNNNNNNNNNNNNNNNNNNNNNNNNNNNNNNNNNNNNNNNNNNNNNNNNNNNNNNNNNNNNNNNNNNNNNNNNNNNNNNNNNNNNNNNNNNNNNNNNNNNNNNNNNNNNNNNNNNNNNNNNNNNNNNNNNNNNNNNNNNNNNNNNNNNNNNNNNNNNNGAAAACAAUUCAAGUGUUGGUAAUCAGGAGCCCACCUGGAGAACAAAGGAAAAUUAAUUCAAGUGUUGGUAAUCAUGAGCCCACCUGGAGAACAAAGGGAAAACAACUCAAGUGUUGGUAAUCAGGAGCCCACCUAGAGAACAAAGGGAAAUCAACUCAAGUGUUGGUAAUCAGGAGCACACCUGAAGAACAAAGGGAAAGCAACUCAAGUGUUGGUAAUCAGGAGCCCACCUGGAGAACAAAGGGAAAACAAUUCAAAUGUUGGUAAUCUGGAGCCCACCUGGAGAACAAAGGAAAGACAAUUCAAGUGUUGGUAAUCAAGAGCCUACCUGGAGAACAAAGGGAAAACAAUUCAAGUGUUUGUAAUUAGGAACCCACCUGGAGAACAAAGGGGAAAAACAAUUCAAGUGUUGGUAAUCAGGAACCCACUUGGAGAACAAAGGGAAAGCAAUUCAAAUGUUGAUAAUCAGGAGCCCACCUGGAGAACAAAGGGAAAGCAGUUCAAGUUUUGAAAAUCAGGCGCCCACCUGGAGAACAAAGGGAAGUAGUUCAAGUUUCGAGGAAAGGAAGACAGUUCAAGUGUUGACAAUCAGGAGCCCUCCUGGAGAACAAAAGGAAACAGUUCAAGUCUCUAGGAAAAAUAGUGCAAAUGUUGGUAAUUAGGCACCCACCUGGAGAACAAAGGGAAAGCAGCAAUGUUCAAAGGAAGGCGGUUCAAGUUCAGCAAUCAGGUGUCCACCUGGAGAACAAGGGAAAACAUAAGUUUCGAGGAAAAACAAUGCAAGUAUUGGCCAUCAGGCGCCUACCUAGAGAAUAAGGGAAUUCACUUCAAAAUGCAAAUCAAGUCAGCAACAAAAGAAGCUCGUGGAAAUAAUGCGAGUCAACAGUUCGAGGUGAUCAACAGAGGUUAGGCACAAUCCAGAAUAAAAAAAAAAGAAAGAAAAGAAAAAAAAGGAAGUGAAUCCAAAUACAGAAGCAGACGAAAUAUGUGAAUUGUUCAAGUCAUGGUUGAAGUCACAGGCACUACAUGUCCGGUCUUGAUUCGGAAAGCUAAAGAAGAACGAGCUAGCACCUGCAGCUAACAAGUGCCAAAGUUCGAAUCUAAAGUCCACAUGAAGAACCAUUCAAGACUCAAGAUCAAGCUUCAGAAGACUUAUAGAUAGGAAUCUUGUAACUCGUAGUUGACAGGCUUAGCUAGUCUUUUUCAUUUUUUGAUUUUUGGUGUAAUAACAGGACCGCCGACCAGAACCUUGGUGGAACGGCACCUCGACCGGCUCUCCACUUAGGUAUACUCCAUCAUCUCACUCACUUAUGAACUACACGUGGCCUGAUUCCUUUAUGGCCAAGGAUAUAUAGGCAGCUCAGAUACCAGGGCUCGGUCACAUUCUCCUUCCUCUUAGUGUUGGUCUCUUUAAAUAAGGGUUGGGUCAAAAAAUCUGUCUAGUUGUUCUUUGUCUGAAAAUACUUCGUAUUUCCAGUCAAAUAGGGGCAGCAGACAUAUGAUUUUUGACCCUCCCCAAGAUUUUUUAUAUUUUAGCAUGUAAAUAUUUAGUUUAGGCCUAAUAUCGUUAUAUCAACUAAUUUUGACUCUUUUACUUAUUUUAUUACAAAAAUAUAAUUGUUUGUAGCCAUUUUAAUCUUGAAAAAAAUACCAAAAAGGAAAUAAUUUCAUUUAUGGUUUAUCUCUAAUAGUUUAUUUUAAUUAAUUAGGAGUAGUCUUACAUUUUUAUAAAUGCUUUAUACUAUUUUAAAUAAGGAAAACUUAGGGCCUUAGUUAAUGAAAUCCAGAUCUUCUAAGAAGCCCAAUUGUUAGUUAAUUUAAGACAAUUUUAGCUCAAUUUUGGGCAGGAAAAUGGCCCAAUUUCGGACUAGUCCUUGAGCCCAAAUCUCCAUUUCCCCAAAAUUAACCCUUAACCUAAUACCCCUACCCUUUAAUUAAACCCUAGACAUCUACAUAUAAGGACCUAGCAGCUGAAAAUAAAGGGAGGAGAUAUAGACCUACGCCUAAAAAAAAGAUACAGAAAAGCAUCCGCCGUUUUUCCAGGGAGCUUGGACGCAAACAGAUCUAGAAAAAAAAGAAGUUGCUGCUUCUUCUUCUUAAAAACAAAAAAUAGACCUAAUACUAAGGAGCUUCAGCCGCUAGAACACUAAGGAAGCCCACCCCCACAUAGCUUCUCCAUCGUCUUCUUCAUGGAGACAACAAGAAAACUCCAUU
RNAcentral lists this long non-coding RNA (11977 nucleotides) under Nicotiana tabacum (common tobacco). Its description in RNAcentral is "long non-coding RNA (NTAB_LNC008576)". Lineage: Eukaryota; Viridiplantae; Streptophyta; Magnoliopsida; Solanales; Solanaceae. The record is from RNAcentral.